GAUUAACGCUGGCGGCGUGCAUAACACAUGCAAGUCGAACGAUGAAACUUUAAUGACCCCUUCGGGGAGAAUUAAAGCGGAUUAGUGGCGAACGGGUGAGUAACGCGUGAGUAACCUGCCUUACACAAGGGGAUAGCCUUUGGAAACGAAGAAUAAUACCCUAUAAAACCAUAAAAGCACAUGCAAUUAUGGUCAAAGUGAUAGCGGUGUAAGAUGGACUUGCGUCUGAUUAGCUAGUUGGUGAGAUAAAAGCCCACCAAGGCAACGAUCAGUAGCCGGCUUGAGAGAGUGUACGGCCACAUUGGGACUGAGACACGGCCCAGACUCCUACGGGAGGCAGCAGUGGGGAAUUUUGCACAAUGGGGGAAACCCUGAUGCAGCGACGCCGCGUGAUGUAGAAGGCCUUCGGGUUGUAAAAAUCUUUUGUAUAGGAAGAAAAUGACAGUACUAUACGAAUAAAGUCCGGCUAAUUACGU
This 476-nucleotide ribosomal RNA is filed under the name uncultured bacterium. Its description in RNAcentral is "partial 16S ribosomal RNA". It matches the Rfam family "Bacterial small subunit ribosomal RNA", at positions 28 to 506 of the family's 1533-position model. The record is from RNAcentral.